GACAAAUGCCCUGCUUCCAGGAAAAGCCUCUAAGCAUCAGGUAACAUUAAAUCGUACCCCAAACCGACACAGGUGGUCAGGUAGAGAAUACCAAGGCGCUUGAGAGAACUCGGGUGAAGGAACUAGGCAAAAUGGUGCCGUAACUUCGGGAGAAGGCACGCUGAUAUGUAGGUGAAGCGACUUGCUCGUGGAGCUGAAAUCAGUCGAAGAUACCAGCUGGCUGCAACUGUUUAUUAAAAACACAGCACUGUGCAAACACGAAAGUGGACGUAUACGGUGUGACGCCUGCCCGGUGCCGGAAGGUUAAUUGAUGGGGUUAGCGGCAACGCGAAGCUCUUGAUCGAAGCCCCGGUAAACGGCGGCCGUAACUAUAACGGUCCUAAGGUAGCGAAAUUCCUUGUCGGGUAAGUUCCGACCUGCACGAAUGGCGUAAUGAUGGCCAGGCUGUCUCCACCCGAGACUCAGUGAAAUUGAACUCGCUGUGAAGAUGCAGUGUACCCGCGGCAAGACGGAAAGACCCCGUGAACCUUUACUAUAGCUUGACACUGAACAUUGAGCCUUGAUGUGUAGGAUAGGUGGGAGGCUUUGAAGUGUGGACGCCAGUCUGCAUGGAGCCGACCUUGAAAUACCACCCUUUAAUGUUUGAUGUUCUAACGUGGGCCCGUAAUCCGGGUUGCGGACAGUGUCUGGUGGGUAGUUUGACUGGGGCGGUCUCCUCCUAAAGAGUAACGGAGGAGCACGAAGGUUGGCUAAUCCUGGUCGGACAUCAGGAGGUUAGUGCAAUGGCAUAAGCCAGCUUGACUGCGAGCGUGACGGCGCGAGCAGGUGCGAAAGCAGGUCAUAGUGAUCCGGUGGUUCUGAAUGGAAGGGCCAUCGCUCAACGGAUAAAAGGUACUCCGGGGAUAACAGGCUGAUACCGCCCAAGAGUUCAUAUCGACGGCGGUGUUUGGCACCUCGAUGUCGGCUCAUCACAUCCUGGGGCUGAAGUAGGUCCCAAGGGUAUGGCUGUUCGCCAUUUAAAGUGGUACGCGAGCUGGGUUUAGAACGUCGUGAGACAGUUCGGUCCCUAUCUGCCGUGGGCGCUGGAGAACUGAGGGGGGCUGCUCCUAGUACGAGAGGACCGGAGUGGACGCAUCACUGGUGUU
This 1145-nucleotide ribosomal RNA is filed under the name Escherichia coli. Its description in RNAcentral is "partial 23S ribosomal RNA". It matches the Rfam family "Bacterial large subunit ribosomal RNA", at positions 1592 to 2716 of the family's 2925-position model. The record is from RNAcentral. Lineage: Bacteria; Pseudomonadati; Pseudomonadota; Gammaproteobacteria; Enterobacterales; Enterobacteriaceae.